Molecule: non-coding RNA, 72 nt
Organism: Salmo salar (Atlantic salmon)
Lineage: Eukaryota; Metazoa; Chordata; Actinopteri; Salmoniformes; Salmonidae
Source: Rfam
UCCCAUGUAGCUCAGUUGGUAGAGCAUGGCAUUUGCAAUGUCAGAGUCGUGGGUUUGAUUCCCAUGGGGGAC